AAUCAACGCUGGCGGCGUGCCUAACACAUGCAAGUCGAGCGGUAAGGCCCUUUCGGGGGUACACGAGCGGCGAACGGGUGAGUAACACGUGGGUGACCUGCCCUCAGCUCUGGGAUAAGCCUGGGAAACCGGGUCUAAUACCGGAUAUGACUCCAUGACGCAUGUUGUGGGGUGGAAAGCCUUGUGCGGCUGAGGAUGGGCCCGCGGCCUAUCAGCUUGUUGGUGGGGGAUGGCCUACCAAGGCGACGACGGGUAGCCGGCCUGAGAGGGCGACCGGCCACACUGGGACUGAGACACGGCCCAGACUCCUACGGGAGGCAGCAGUGGGGAAUCUUGCGCAAUGGGCGAAAGCCUGACGCAGCGACGCCGCGUGA
RNAcentral lists this ribosomal RNA (374 nucleotides) under uncultured bacterium. RNAcentral's name for it is "bacterial SSU rRNA". It matches the Rfam family "Bacterial small subunit ribosomal RNA", at positions 28 to 404 of the family's 1533-position model. The record is from RNAcentral.